UCCGGCUUGUCACCGGCAGUUCCACUAGAGUGCCCACCCAAACGUGCUGGCAACUAGUGGCGAGGGUUGCGCUCGUUGCGGGACUUAACCCAACAUCUCACGAUACGAGCUGACGACAGCCAUGCAGCACCUGUGCAUCACGUCCCUUGCGGGAAAAGUGUGUCUCCACACCGGUCGUGACCAUGUCAAGCCCUGGUAAGGUUCUUCGCGUUGCGUCGAAUUAAGCCACAUGCUCCGCCGCUUGUGCGGGCCCCCGUCAAUUCCUUUGAGUUUCGGUCUUGCGACCGUACUCCCCAGGCGGAGUGUUUCACGCGUUAGCUGGGCCCCUGAUCCACGUAGACCAAGGGCGAACACUCAUCGUUUACGGCAUGGACUAC
Molecule: unclassified non-coding RNA, 377 nt
Filed under: uncultured Alphaproteobacteria bacterium
Lineage: Bacteria; Pseudomonadati; Pseudomonadota; Alphaproteobacteria
Description: contains 16S-23S intergenic spacer region
Source: RNAcentral